Molecule: long non-coding RNA, 5251 nt
Organism: Triticum aestivum (bread wheat)
Lineage: Eukaryota; Viridiplantae; Streptophyta; Magnoliopsida; Poales; Poaceae
Exons: 7
Source: RefSeq, a predicted model, not a curated record
GAAGCGGCAGCGAGAGAAAAGAGGAAAAGCAGUCAGACCUAGCCCGCGCCCCCGUAGCCGCCUCCUCUCCUGCCGCCGCCGCCUUGGCAUUGUUCGCCUCCUCUCCUGCCGCCGCCACCGCCUUGGCCUCGGCGCCCGUGCUCUCCCGGCGCCCGUCGGCCUCGAUCCGGCCUCAGCAGGAGGAGCUCGGCCUCGAGACUCGGCAGGAGGAGCUCGCCCUCGAGUAGGACUCAACAGGAGGAGGGGAGCAGCAGCUGCGCCCCAUGCUCUCUCGCCACCCUCGAGGUGAAGGUAACGGAUGAAAUCCCAUGGACGAGCUCGAGCUGGAAGGACGCGGACGGCAGCGACUUGGACCAACAUCGUCCUGCCGGUGCCUUGCCGGUGAGCGCCACGCAUGGUGCAGCAGGCGGCAGGCACGACUUUGGGAGCUGCGCAUCGAGCGACGACUACUGCAUCUGCCGCCAGCACCAAGCCAAGAUGUAGAGCGGUGGUCGACGGCGGCAACCUGCUCCCAAGUUGCAAGUGAUGUUGCCAGAUAGCAGUAUACCAAGGGUUCUAAGAAUUUGAUUCAUAAAUGUAGCCAAGAUGCAGCGCGGUGGUCGACGGCGGCGGCCUGCUCCCAAGUUGCAGGUUGCUAAUGCUGUUCAAACAGGUGCGUGCAUGGACAUCUUCAUGAUUACUGAUUAUAAGAUCUUCAUGAUUACUGAUUAUAAGUGAACACACAUAUCUUCUCUCGAGGUUCUGAGUGUUGAGAGUGGUUGCUCAUUGUUUCUGUAUUCAAAUACUGAUGAAUCAACACUUCCAAAAGAUAUACUGAUGGCCAAAGAAGAUUGGGGAAGUUCCACUAUGUUCCUACAGACUGUUGGCCAAAAAAGAUUGGGGGAAAAUAGCUCUGGAGAAGGAUUGAGAUGAAAAUGGGAUUGGGAUCUCACUUCGCAAUGCAUUGAAGAAUCAUGAUAAUUUUUACAGGCUGUUCUUUCUUUAGUACCAAUGAAUAACUUGGUUACACAAUAUACUUGAAGAUUGCAUUAGGAACAAAAUGCUUAGCAGACCAAACUAAUUAGUUUUCUGGAGACAGACUACUCUUGCAUCAUUAUGUGCAACCCACAGGUAUCUCACUCGGCGAGACAUGCACACCUAUGCCACAUCUUUACAUGUAAGUUUGUUUUGCUUAGCCAUGGACAGUGAGGUCCCCCUUCUCUUCAUUCCCAGUUCAUUUAUUUAAUAUCAAUAUCUUUACUCUAGGAUUUAUGUCCUUGCCAACUCUACAAUUGUUCAUUGCACACUCAGAGUCUAGAUAUUGAAUUAGCUACUUUUGCGAUCCCUGGACUAUACGAGUCAAGUAUUUCUGGAUUGCCCAUUUUUCAGCUGGUUAAGGCUUUUUCUAUUGUUUGCAAAUGAAAAUUAUUUGAUGUACCCCUGGUAUGAUACAAGAAGAGUUUGCUCUUUCCCUUUGUAAAAUUUUCUGCACACGAUGUUGUCGAGGAUGAUUUCAGAAUUUAUAUGCUCAUUGCUUCCAUUGCUUCUUUCCCCAUUAACUGAUAUUAGACAGUGGUCUAUAAAUGUUGCACCUGACUCUGUUUUCCAAGGAAAUACGAAUGAAGUUAUAGUACUUGCAAACUGCGACUCUUCGCUGAACAAGAAAAGUAAAUAUGAUAACAUAUUAGGCAGUAAAAUUACAUGGCUGAUCUCUGUUUUGUGCAUGUCAGGUGAGCAUUAUGAGUUGUUCUACUUCCCUUAAGAGAGUGUACUUUCCUCUCAUCAGAUGCUCACUCUGGAAUAAACAAAUCUUUUGGGAUGUAACCUGUUCUUAGUUUUGAUGCCUUACCGUCUGCCUUCUCCUCUCCUUUAUGUUGUUUUUUUGUAAAUUAUUUGUCUAGGCUACUACCAUAACUUGUUGGUUUAGUUUAGGUGUGUAGGAAGAAUUUGCAGAUGAAUCACGCUAUCAGGUUUAGGCGUGCACAUGGCCACUAAUAAUAAUAAAAAUUGAUAUUUGAUGAAGCCAUCAUCAUGUCAUGUAAUUACUUGCAGAACAACUAUAUUGUUUUUUGGGGCGGUAAAGCGGAAAUGAUAGGACUCUGCAACUCAUGUGAGUGUUGUUUGAUUAUUUACUUUUUCAAGCGUGUGGAUGUCGUUGGCAUGUUUAGUAUACGCACGAAGAUAUGCAAAGUGUAAAAGUGGUUUCCUGGGAACGUCAUAUUUUUUUCUCCUGGGAACGAAUGAACUGUUCGUCAGGGAGCGAUCACCCCACCGAACGUUUUUGUUCGAUCUGGGGGAGGAGCUGGAGCGAACGAUUCACCCCAGGCCCCCAUGCAAACAGUUGCCCAUGCAGGCAAAAACAGAACCCUGACUGGGCCUUUACGACCUCCAAUUAGGCCAAAAAAUGGCCCAGUUUUUUGUGACGCCUCAACACUUGGGUCAUCACUCGAGGUUAUUGCUUUUGAGUUUCAGGUGAUAUUUUUUUAAUUGAUUUUUGGGAAAUCAUGAUGCUAAAUAUAUGGAUUGUGUCAGUUAGCUAAUCUAUUGGCUCUUUGAUGUGUAUGAUGACAUGAUGGCAAUGAAAAUACAUUUUCGAACUGAAAGUAUUUGUGUAGUUUAAUUUUGACAGAGUAUAGGAGCAUACUCAAUGUCUUCCGCUUUGUGUAUGAUGGCGGCUUUUCUUGCUUAUAGUAAUCAGCUAAAUAAAUAUGUGGGCAUUUAAAAAUAUCUUUGCAAUUAGGCCAGGCGUGAGAAAAAAAAUUCAAAGACGACGAUCUCUUUUGGUGUAUUUCUAUUCUCCCUGUUCCAAAUCUUUUUGUUUGGAUGCCACCGGCACACCACAUGUUGUUCUGAAGAUAUCAUGCUAUGGGACUUUUCAGCAGAAUCAAAACAAAAGGAAGCUAUGGUGUUACUUGCAUCUCAGUUUUCACAUUCUUCUCAGGUUUCACAAAAACAUAAACAUGAUUGGAUGGGCGUCCUUGCCGGCGACCUCGCUAUCUCCAACCCAUCCACAGAAAAUACCAAAGGAAGUAGCUUGUCGUUUGAAUAUCCCAAGCACGGACUGGUGGGACUACAGUUUGGCAAACAACGCUUCACUAUCUAGGACCGAGUAUGACGAACAAUCACAUGAUGUCUGCAUCUUGAUUAACAUGGAUACAAUAAAUUUCUCCUAAAAACAGGACUUGAGGUUGGUAUGGAUGUCCUGCUUACAUUCAAGAUGAACGUUGGCAAUGAUCUGUACAUGAUAGUUUGCUUCGAUGACAUCUGAGAGGUUUAUAGGUCCUAAUUGAGGUUGUCUUCAGUUCAUUAGUUUUUAUCUCUGCUAUGUUAGCUCUUUUGUGAGGGUCCAGUUUGCUGACCACCUUAGAAGAAACACGCACUUAGAUCAAAAGAUUUUCUUAUGUUAGGAGGUUUCCAUCCAAUCUUCUGAAGAUAGUUUGUUAAUAUAUGUGAUCAUGUACCAUGUGUUCCAUUGCAUAUGACAACUUUGUAUUGGACAUAUGUGGCCAAAGAUCUAUACUGAAACAUCUUGAGAAAUCAUCAGGGAGAAUACUAUGAAUGAGAAUGGACUAAGAAAUUGUGAUACACCUUCCUUUAGGUGCAUUUUCAUUCAGAUGGUGAUCCAGGUUUCUUGGAGCAGUACAUGCUAAUCACCAAUUUGUUUUCUGAUCUUUUUAGUACAAGGCUUUACCAAACUAUCAAUUGAAGUGCAGGUCAACCAAGACUUCAUAUACAUAGGCUGAAAGAUGAAAACUAAAGACCAUGGAGAAGAUCACACCAUCUUUAUCCCAGGAAAAACAACUGCAUGGUCACUUGACUUUACAGACAACACGCUGCACUAUUAACUUUGGUUUAAUUGAUCGACAAUGCGUCUUUGUUAUUAGUUAUAUACUAAGGAACAUGCCUAUGAGUAUAUACUUAGGCUAUGUGUGAGACCAGAUUGUUAACAUAAUACUCUUAGUGAACCCCUAAUUUAUGUUGUCCCUAUGCUUUGGGAGGUUGCAGCUGACAUCCUCGACAAAAAUACCUCCUUAACAAUCGUUCCCGCUUUUCUUUACUUGAAAUUAUUUCUCUGCUCUAGGUGCAAGGAUCUGGGAUAGGUGUAUUUAGUUCUGCAAUGGCGAUGACACAUGUAAAUUAAACCAUUUGUUGUUUGUAUAUUGGAUCUUCCUAAAAACCAGAUGAUGUAUUUUUCACAGGAAAUAAACUUUGUAUUGUCAAACUUAGUUGAAUAACUCCCAGAUUUUAUCUACUUCACUGUUUUUGUGACACUCAUAGGCUGUUUGAUAAUAGGCCUAAAAACCUAGAUGUCUGAUAAUAGGCCUAAAAACCAAGAUGUUUGAUAAUAGGCCUAAAAACCAAGAUAAACUGAUGUUUUCACACCUUUGCUUUGCAUCUGUUUUGACCAGAAGAAAUUGCUUACAGAGUACCUUUCUUACAAAACCUUUCCUCUGCAAUUGUAUUAAGUUACUUUUGAUACCAAACUUUUGUUCUAACCUCAUUAGCAAACCUGAUGACCUGAUCCAAUUACUUACCUGUGUAAAGUGCAAACUUGUGUGCUCACUACCUAUUCUUCUCUUACUGGAGAUGCAUUCACCUGCGUUCCAUUCAAGAAACAGAUAGAUGUUACUAAUUCUAUCCAUGGUGAUUGCAGGCAUAGUUAACUUAUCCUUUGUGUAGUAUGAUUAUUAUACACACUCUUUUCAUUUCUGUUUUCCCCUCCUAAGCCAUUUAUUCUGUCUACCGCAGGUUGCUUGGUGUCCUCUCAUCGUGUCUAUUGGUGCAGUAUCACAUAUCCUCUCUCGAAGAGAUGAGAUAAGGAUUACAGGGCUACCAACAACCCACCUCACCUAUAAUGGAAGACAUCCUGAUUCAUUGUUGCAAGCUAGAGAACAAUAACUAUCAUGUUGGUGAUUUCCUUGAUAUAUGGUUCUACACGUGUGUCAUAUGGACCAAUGAAAGCAAAGAUAUUGCGGAGAUAAUAACUAUAUGGGCUACUCCAAAUGGAGUGGCAGUGGAACCAACACCUUUUAUAGGCCUUCAAGUACCUGUGUGGAAGUCUACCAUGCAAGCAUUAUCCGACGACUAACACUUUGCUUAUGUGUACAUAUCCUCUGAAGACCACAACCGGACUAAGAAGAUGUCUAAAUAAGCUGUGAGGCUGCCUAUAUAUAAGUCUAUUUCUGUAAAUUGAUAUCAGUUAUUCUACUAUCUGUAAACCAAUUUAAGUCAUUCUAUUGUCUGCAAUACAAUCCACAUUGCAUUAUCUUUC